Molecule: ribosomal RNA, 253 nt
Filed under: uncultured bacterium
Lineage: Bacteria
Description: partial 16S ribosomal RNA
Rfam family: Bacterial small subunit ribosomal RNA
Source: RNAcentral
UACGGGGGGGGGCAAGCGUUUGUUCGGAAUUACUGGGCGUAAAGGGCUCGUAGGCGCCAACUAAGUCAGACGUGAAAUCCCUCGGCUUAACCGGGGAACUGCGUCUGAUACUGGUUGGCUUGAGUGUGGGAGAGGGAUGCGGAAUUCCAGGUGUAGCGGUGAAAUGCGUAGAUAUCUGGAGGAACACCGGUGGCGAAGGCGGCAUCCUGGACCAUUACUGACGCUGAGGAGCGAAAGCCAGGGGAGCAAACGG